RNAcentral lists this ribosomal RNA (253 nucleotides) under uncultured bacterium. Its description in RNAcentral is "partial 16S ribosomal RNA". It matches the Rfam family "Bacterial small subunit ribosomal RNA", at positions 524 to 776 of the family's 1533-position model. The record is from RNAcentral.
UACGAAGGGGGCUAGCGUUGUUCGGAAUCACUGGGCGUAAAGCGCACGUAGGCGGAUUUGUAAGUCAGGGGUGAAAUCCCGGGGCUCAACCUCGGAACUGCCUUUGAUACUGCGGGUCUCGAGUCCGGAAGAGGUGAGUGGAAUUCCUAGUGUAGAGGUGAAAUUCGUAGAUAUUAGGAAGAACACCAGUGGCGAAGGCGGCUCACUGGUCCGGUACUGACGCUGAGGUGCGAAAGCGUGGGGAGCAAACAGG